This 253-nucleotide ribosomal RNA is filed under the name uncultured bacterium. Its description in RNAcentral is "partial 16S ribosomal RNA". It matches the Rfam family "Bacterial small subunit ribosomal RNA", at positions 524 to 776 of the family's 1533-position model. The record is from RNAcentral.
UACGUAGGGUGCGAGCGUUAAUCGGAAUUACUGGGCGUAAAGCGUGCGCAGGCGGCGCGUUAAGACAGGUGUGAAAGCCCCGAGCUUAACUUGGGAAUUGCGCUUGUGACUGGCGUGCUGGAGUGUGGCAGAGGGAGGUGGAAUUCCACGUGUAGCAGUGAAAUGCGUAGAGAUGUGGAGGAACACCGAUGGCGAAGGCAGCCUCCUGGGCCAGCACUGACGCUCGUGCACGAAAGCGUGGGGAGCAAACAGG